Non-coding RNA from Oryctolagus cuniculus (rabbit), 1700 nucleotides. Lineage: Eukaryota; Metazoa; Chordata; Mammalia; Lagomorpha; Leporidae. The record is from RefSeq and is a predicted model, not a curated record.
CUGCCCUUCGAGGGACAGUCCCCUCCCACCCCAUGUAUACGGUGUCACAGUCAGGAGUCCACUGCAGCACUGGCUGCAUCGGGGAGAACUGGAAUCAACCGAAACUCCCAUGGCCUGGGGUGUGAAUCCAGGCACUGUGGGAAAUUCAGAGCUUGCUCCCUAGCAGUUGAAAUGAAUCCGCGCAGGUAGAGUUAUAGACAGAGAGAGACAGAGAAAGGUCUUCCUUCUGUUGGUUCACCCACUAAAUUGCCGCUACAGCCAGUAUUGCACUGAUCCGAAGCCAGGAGCCAGGUGCUUCUCCUGGUCUCCCGUGUGGGUGCAGGGCCCAAGCACCUGGGCCAUCCUCCACUGCCCCCCGGGCCACAGCAGAGAGUUGGACUGGAAGAGGAGCAACUGGGACUAGAACUGGGCGCCCAUAUAGGAUGCCAGCGCCGCAGGCGGAGGAUUAACCAAGCACCUAACCCUUUGCUGCUCACCCUGCGUAGCUUCAAGUGUGCAUCCUCCAGGGCUGCCCCCCAGUUCUCCAGGGAUGGACACUCAGCUUACACACGUGUAAGAGAAAGUGCCCCUGGGGAGGGCACAGUGGCAGUGGAUGCUUCUCCUCUGAACGCCUGCAGUGCCUUGGUCUCCUGUGCCCCUCCAUCUCUGUGCCAAAUUACAGAUCCUGAUACAGGCGCCUGCCUCACCCCCAGGGUGGUUCUUGCUCAUCUUUUGAGUCAGUGACUAGCAAAGAGCUUGGCAGAUGCUUGAAUUCCCAUGGCUUCUGUCGCUCCCCAGGUUCACGCAGGUUCACGCUUUAUGCCAGGCCAAAGUGAGCAGAUUGUGACAAGGUCGCGAUAUGUCCAUCUUUGCUGACAGAGUGACCAGACUGCAAGGGAGAGGAACACUGUUGUGAAAGGUGACGAGGGAGCAGAAACCUGUGAAAUGUUUGGAACUUGGUCUCCCUGGAGUAAAUAAACCACAGAAACUCUGGGCAUGCCGACCACGAAGGGAACGUCAGAUCCCAGGGCAAGCCACGAACGUUCCAGCUGUGGCUUGGAUUUUCUUCCUGCGUUUUCUUUAUAACCUAUCAGCUUGCUGGCACCUUGCUUCAGGAGCUCCAGGCAAAGCUGGAGAAGCAGCUGAAAUGCCUGACUGGGCUCCUAUUUACUGAAACCUCCCUGAGAGCGAAACGAACAGGAAAGAAAAACACAAGCGUCUCCAGUUCUCCCUGCUGAGUGUCUGUGUGAUGCUCCCUUCACCUGAACAUGGGCUUCUCAGCUGGCUUCCCAUCUCUGCUGAUAGCCAUGCUAAGGUACUCAACACCCAGGCUGGCACUGUGGCGUAGCGGGCUAAGCCUCUGCCUGCAGCUCAACAUCCCAUAUGGGCGCCGGUUCAAGACCCUGCUGCUCUACUUCCUAUCCAGCUCUCUGCUGUGGCCUGGGAAAGCAGUAGAAGAUGGCCCAAGUCCUUGGGCCCCUGCACCCGCGUGGGAGACAUGGAAGAAGCUGGCUCCUGCCUUCGGAUCGGCACAGCUCCUGGCUUCAGAUUGGAACAGCUCCAGCCAUUGCAGCCCAUUGGAGCAUGAACCAGUGGAUGGAAGACCUCUCUCUGCCUCUCCUUCUCUCUCUCUGUGUAACUCUGGCUUUCAAAUAAAUAAAUAAAUCUUUUUUGAAAAAAGAUACUUACCCUCCACAGAGUGUUUUCAAAUGAAUAAACAC